CGUUAUGUGGAGGACAGCUAAGCGACUGGAGUCACAGAAAAGGAGGGGAGGAGAGGAGGAGAAAGAAGCGUCUGAGCUGGCGAGGUCUCCUGGCAGCUCCAAGAGCGAGAGCUGUGGUGGAUGUCAGCUGCCACCAUUUCACCGUGGUUGCCCUUUCUUCUGCCGUGAAAGUACAAGACAGAUGGAAAGAUUCCGUAGUGGUCUGCAAGUACAAGGUUCUCCCAGGAAGCAUUAGCAGCCUUGUAACUAGUGGCAGCGAGUCCUGAGGUGGUUUUGUUUUCCACUUCACUUUCAGCUUUAUUCACCAAACAAGCAAGAUGCAAAGCAGCAGCAGCAGCGCAAGGGCUGUAGCUGUUGCGGUGGGCCCGUAAGCGUAGAUUCUGAUUGGGUAUGACCUCGUCCCGCAGCCUCCCGGGGUUCUCUCCCUGCAGCAGUGGUGUAAGGAAGGGAGGAGAUGUCUUCCAACGCCGGCAAGAGUGUUUACUUGUAUGCUAAGAAGGUGUUCAAAAUGGUAUCAAUUAGCCUAAAUGCUGAUUUUAAGGGUUCAAAUCACUCUUAACUUUUAAAGGAGGUGGUGUAUUUCGAGCUGACCUGUUUACCUGGAAUCCUCCUUUAGCUCAGCGACUCUUCUCGGGCACCCCCAGCCUCCGCUGGCAGGGCGGUAUGAGAAGCUGGAAGGUCCUUGACUUAGUAUAAACACCGCUUAGCAACA
Long non-coding RNA from Aquila chrysaetos chrysaetos, 712 nucleotides. RefSeq lists it as uncharacterized. The record is from RefSeq and is a predicted model, not a curated record. The transcript has 4 exons. Lineage: Eukaryota; Metazoa; Chordata; Aves; Accipitriformes; Accipitridae.